This 168-nucleotide unclassified non-coding RNA is filed under the name uncultured fungus. RNAcentral's name for it is "sequence contains ITS1". Lineage: Eukaryota; Fungi. The record is from RNAcentral.
CCGAUUACCUUACGUUGCGCCCCUCGCGGGCGCUCCGUCUCCAACCCCAUGUUGUACCGACCACUGUUGCCUCGGGGGCGACCCGGACCGUCCGCGGUCUCGGGGCCCCCGGCGGACACUAUCUAAACACUUGCAUCUCUGCGUCCGAGUAGAUUAUUGAAUCAAUCA